Molecule: non-coding RNA, 45 nt
Filed under: Schistosoma bovis
Lineage: Eukaryota; Metazoa; Platyhelminthes; Trematoda; Strigeidida; Schistosomatidae
Also listed under: 1 other name
Source: RNAcentral
AUCCAGCUGACGAGUGCCAAAUAGGAUGAAACACGCGUCCUGGAU